AUUAUGUUUUCUGUGUAAUUGCAGCUAUGUAUACUAUAGAGUUUCAAAAAAGAGGACUCCCUCAUGCUCAUAUACUAAUUUGGCUGGAUUCAAAGUGUAAGUUGACCAAAGUAGAGCACAUUGAUAAAGUUAUAUCAGCAGAGAUUCCUGACAAAUUGAAAGACCCUAAGCUAUUUGAAGUGAUAAAGGAAAGAAUGGUUGAUAAUAGGUUUUUUAUUGGUCAAUUAUCCUAAAACACCAAUCAUGUCGUUGUAGUAUUUUAGGUGUCAAUCCAAAUGGGUGUGAUGCAAACAGAUGAAAUGUGAUCAGAAGUCACUAAGUCAAGCCAAGCAAUAACAGUUUUGGGGUUUCUAACAGUUCUAAGCGAACAUGCAGAAAACAGAAGCAAUAACAUAAUUACUAAAAUCACUCGACCACAACAGGCUGAUGCCAGAAGUAGGAUGUGGUCGAGUAACAGGUCGAGUAACAGACAGGAUAUGAAACAGCUAUACUCGACUGCACAGUCUGUUGCCAGACACUGGGUGUGGUCGAGUAUACUGGUCGAGUAACAGACAGGAAACAAGACAAUCUUACUCGACUGCACAGUCUGUUGCCAGACACUGGGUGUGGUCGAGUAAGAUGGUCGAGUGAUUGUAAAAACUAAGAAAUAGGCAAUGAGAACGAUUAAGCGAUAACGAUAAAACAGAGAAAUAAGAUAGACGAGAAAUUCCUAAGGAUGGGGUAAUUGAGUAGAGUGGUAUCCUAGCCUAUUCGAAUGGUUAACAAGCGCAAUCAAGCUAUCCCUAGACAACAGGUUCAACAACAGAUCAAUUCACUCCCGUGAUAGAAAUCGUCAAGCAAAGCUAGCCCAGACUAAUUCCCAUUAACGGAAUCUAACUAUGCAGGCAAUAAGAACAGACUGAUAAAGUCAAUAAACGCUCUAAACGGCCAAUCCCUUGGGAUAGAGACGCAUAUCUCAGGAACUAGUGGAUCAAGCAUUCCAUCGAACACCUUCUGGGUGCGGGAAUGCUUGGGAUCGAAUUCCAAUUGAUCAGAAAGAAAUAAGCAGUAAACGCAACUAGUCCUAAAGGGAUUCAAUCAAUUCUAAAACUUAACCAUUCUACAGACUACGGAUUCCACAACUACUCUAUCCCAUCCCUAAGAAUUCUAAGUCACUACUCAGACAACAUGCUCAAAGACAUAAACGCAGAUAAACGAUAAUAUUGCAUAAGUAAAGAGAUAAAGAGUAGAGAAACAAGAUGACAGAUGAAAUCAAAUGCGGAAUCUCGAAUUACAGGUUGAAGAAGCAAAAGCGGCGCAGUAGAGUAAAAUAGAAAAUAAAACUGAUGCAAAAAGUCAAUGUCGACUAGAUGUCUCAGGACAGAACCCUAAGACAUCUAUUUAUACAAAACGAAAUAAAAUGAUAGUAGACGGGCCAAUAACCUAAUCGCUCGGCCCACAGAGAGAUAAUGGGCCGUGAUGGGCUUCGUGAUUUGAUGGAGAUCCAGGCCGCUUCCAAACACUUUGUCUUCUCCUCUUCUCUUCCUUGUGCUCAGCUUGUCUGGUUGAGUGCGGAUUUGAGUAGACUGUGAAGACAUGAUCGAGUGUCCGGUCGAGUGAUGCUGAUGGUGGUGAGUGAUGAUACUCGGCCAGGGGGUCGAGUAACUUGGUAGAGUGAAUGGUCGAGUGAUGGUGAUGGUGUGGCGAAGUGAUACUCGACCGUGGGGUCGAGUGGUGUGGUAGAGUGAACGGUCGAGUGUUGUCAGGUGGUGUGGCAAAGUGAUACUCGACCAGGGGGUCGAGUAGUGUCAUCGAGUGGCCUGAGCUGAGGUUACUCGACCUGGUGGUCGAGUGGAUGGGAAGAAUGGCUCCAAAGUCACUCGACCUGGGGGUCGAGUAUGUGGGAAGAAUGGCUCCAAAGUCACUCGACCUGGGGGUCGAGUAUGUCUUCUAGUUCUGGCACGUUUCUUCCAAUUUGCUUGCAAACAGCUCCAAAUCACCUGAAAACAACUUAGAAAUGCAAUAUGUAUGCAAAGCUAUCCUAAUCAUGCAAAGUAUGCAAGAAUGAUGAGAAAUGAUAUAAAACAGUGAUGAAUGAUACGAAACUGGACUCAAAACGAUGAUGAAUGGACACUGAAAACAUGCAAAUUAUAGACAUAUCAAUGGUUCAUGGUCCUUGUGGUGUGGUGAACCCGAAAUGUCCAUGUAUGGAAAACGGAAAGUGUUCAAAGUUUUAUCCGAAAAAUCAUGUUC
Molecule: small RNA, 2232 nt
Filed under: Arabidopsis thaliana (thale cress)
Lineage: Eukaryota; Viridiplantae; Streptophyta; Magnoliopsida; Brassicales; Brassicaceae
Description: ATSL041680
Source: RNAcentral